Molecule: non-coding RNA, 27 nt
Filed under: Homo sapiens (human)
Lineage: Eukaryota; Metazoa; Chordata; Mammalia; Primates; Hominidae
Source: RNAcentral
ACAUCUUGGGCCAUGCAUUCUAUCAGC